AUGAGUAGUUGCUAUCAACCUUAUAAAGUUCUGUUGACAAAUUUUUGUCACCCCAAAAUUUUUAUUUUCAGAAAAUUGUACGCGGACAUGAAUAUCUUCAGGAAGUUUGGCUCUAGGAAGAACUCCAAGGGUGUUAUUGGGGAGUCUUCUGACAAUGAUCUCCACCCUCGGAGGUUGGCGGAGGUACGACUGUGCGAAUGGCCGCACACCCCAUUCCUGGAAGAAGCUGGAAUUCUUGAGGAGUUCCUGCAAUAUGUUGCAAACGCCGGCCUCAUCGACUUUAUCGCAGAUGAGUGUGACCAUCAUCAAAUCCUCACAAAUAUCUUUGUUCGGAGUUUUACUUUCCUGCCUAGGAAUAAUCCUCCUGAAGUGAGCUUCAAUUUAUAUGCUGAAAACCAUCAGAUACCACUUACUGAAUUUUGUGAUAUAUGCUUGAUCCCCUCUGAUGGGAGCUUAGCCGAGCCUAGGCCGGCUGGGUUUGAGGAUUUUUAUCGCACUUUGACAAUGGGAGAGAGAGUGGUGUCAGCUACCACAGUUGCUAGCAUACACUUUCCUGCUAUACAUUAUUUUGCUUUAUUUCUUGCUAAGUGCUUUCUUGCUAGAAAUAAAGUAGGUGCGCUCAGUGCACCAGACUUUGCUGUUUUACGCCGAGCACUCGAGGGCGACAACACCCAUAGCUUGGGAGCUAUUGUGGCUCGUCGCCUCCAUCUUAAUAAAUCCCAGGGUGAAAUACAUGGUGGGAUUUUUGCUACUCGUUUGGCGGCUCUCUUCGAGGUCGAGAUACGCCCUCAUGGUUACCCUCUAACCAAGGUUUACCUAGACCGGGCAGCCAUGGAACACCAUCAUUUUCUUGCACGAGAUUAUCCUGAUAUCCCCAUUCCUUAUAACCUGGUUUUUAGCGUUAAAACUCGUGAUAUUAUUCCACUGCCUGCACCUGCUUUGUUUGAUUCUGCUGCCAGGGGCGGAUAUAGGAUCAUGCCUGCGGACAUCAUCGCCUACAGACGCUCAGGCUGCCGAGGAGGUGGCACAACUUGA
This 1035-nucleotide ribosomal RNA is filed under the name Triticum aestivum (bread wheat). RNAcentral's name for it is "partial small subunit ribosomal RNA". Lineage: Eukaryota; Viridiplantae; Streptophyta; Magnoliopsida; Poales; Poaceae. The record is from RNAcentral.